This is an RNA transcript of Cajanus cajan (pigeon pea), 1570 nucleotides long. It is a transcript of the gene named Alcohol dehydrogenase transcription factor Myb/SANT-like family protein, with no coding region annotated. The record is from RefSeq and is a predicted model, not a curated record. NCBI's taxonomy places the organism in Eukaryota, Viridiplantae, Streptophyta, Magnoliopsida, Fabales, Fabaceae.
AAUUCCCCAAACUUGACACCGCACAAACAAAACAAAAACAAAUCAAAAACCCUAACCCAAUUUUUCUCUUCUUCCUUCCCCAAAUCUAGAAUCGGGAUUCCCCUUCGAUCCCAACACAUGGACGACAUGGAAGACGACGCCAGGUACCCUCCCAAGUCCUUCUCCCUCAUCCGCCAGAACCCCUCCCACCGCCAUAAACACCCCCUCCGCGGCGGCGCCGCCUCCUACCACCGCCCACUCCCCCCGCGCUACGAGGAGCCCGACGACUUCGACGACGGAAACGAAGACCCCGACGAUUUCGACGACGCGGAGGACGACGAGGAGAACGGGUACGACGGCGCAAUGGAGGAAAACGACGUGGCCUAUCCCCGGAUCCCGAAGAAGCGGAAGGUAUCGGUAACGGGUGGAGGAAACUCGUACGAGUUCGCGCCACGUGUGAAAUUCUCGUACGGUUCGGGGUCGGGUUCGGAGGAGUGGAACGAGCACGAGACUUUGGUGCUGUUGGAGGUGUGGGGCGAGAAGUUUCUCCAGUUGGGGAGGAACAGUUUGAGGUUAGAGGAAUGGAACGAGGUUGCAGAGAAGGUUUCUGAGGAACUGAAAGUUGAGAGAAGCGUGGCGCAGUGUAGAAGCGUGUUGGACAAGCUGAAACGAAGGUACAAGAAGGAGAAGGCGAGAGUGGACGAAAUGGGCCUGGGCUCGUGUAAGUGGGCCUUCUUCAAGAAGAUGGACAUGUUUAUGGCUUCCUCCGCACGGCAAGAGUAUGGUCUUGCUUGUGGGGUGGAUUCUGGGGAGUAUGUGUUUAUGAACACUAGGGUUUACUUGAACAGGUCCAAUGGUUUCGAUGAGAUGAGGGACAGUCCUGGGGAGUCCGAGAGUGAUGAGGAUGACGACGACGAUUGCGCCGCCGACGACCACCACGCCGAUGAGGAGGACCAGACUUCGUUCCGGGCUUUGGCCGAUUCUAUUCACAAGUUUGGCAAGAUAUAUGAGAAGAUUGAGAACAGCAAGAGGCAGCAGAUGAUGGAGUUGGAGAAGAUGAGGCUCGAUUUCAACAGGGAGUUGGAGCUGCAGAAGAAGCAGAUUCUCGAGAGGGCUCAGGCUGAGAUUGCCAAGAUACAAGAAGGGGACCAGGAGGUGGAGGAGGAGGAGGAGGACGAUACCGACACUUCCGCCGAGAAUCUCAGUGAAUGAAUCAUGUAGGUAGCCUUCGUUUGGUUUGCUUGGAAGAGCUUAUUUAUAGCUUAAUUCAUGAUAUAAACACUUGUGAGAUAUAAUCUUGGAAAGGGUGAUGAAUGAUGAUAUCUAUAUGAAUAGAGUGCACCAGUUUUGAAGGAAAGAUUGUUUACAAACUGCCAUAGAGCUGCACGCUGGAAGGUUUUCAACCCUUGUGUACCCUGAUAAUAUUAAUAGGGAAGUUGAUUAGAAAGAGUAAUAUUUUUGUAUGGGUAACCUGCUAUAAAUUUUGGGGGCACUUUUAAAUAAUUUGCAGAACAUUUCUGUAACUCAUUUCAUCCGAACAUAUACCUUUGGAUGGAAAUUAAAUGUUAAUAGUAUGUUAAACUUAAGUGCA